RNAcentral lists this ribosomal RNA (375 nucleotides) under Vibrio sp. enrichment culture DGGE band 46. RNAcentral's name for it is "bacterial SSU rRNA". It matches the Rfam family "Bacterial small subunit ribosomal RNA", at positions 485 to 856 of the family's 1533-position model. The record is from RNAcentral. Lineage: Bacteria; Pseudomonadati; Pseudomonadota; Gammaproteobacteria; Vibrionales; Vibrionaceae.
AAGAAGCACCGGCUAACUCCGUGCCAGCAGCCGCGGUAAUACGGAGGGUGCGAGCGUUAAUCGGAAUUACUGGGCGUAAAGCGCAUGCAGGUGGUUUGUUAAGUCAGAUGUGAAAGCCCGGGGCUCAACCUCGGAAUAGCAUUUGAAACUGGCAGACUAGAGUACUGUAGAGGGGGGUAGAAUUUCAGGUGUAGCGGUGAAAUGCGUAGAGAUCUGAAGGAAUACCGGUGGCGAAGGCGGCCCCCUGGACAGAUACUGACACUCAGAUGCCGAAAGCGUGGGGAGCAAACAGGAUUAGAUACCCUGGUAUGUCCACGCCGUAAACGAUGUCUACCUUGGAGGUUGUGGCCUUGAGCCGUGGCUUUCGGAGCUAAC